RNAcentral lists this transfer RNA (85 nucleotides) under Felis catus (domestic cat). It matches the Rfam family "tRNA". Rfam says of the family: Transfer RNA (tRNA) molecules are approximately 80 nucleotides in length. Their secondary structure includes four short double-helical elements and three loops (D, anti-codon, and T loops). The record is from Rfam by way of RNAcentral. Lineage: Eukaryota; Metazoa; Chordata; Mammalia; Carnivora; Felidae. RNAcentral also lists the same sequence under 1 other name.
GCCUGGGUGGCUCAGUCGGUUGAGCGUCCGACUUCGGCUCAGGUCAUGAUCUCACGGUCUGUGGGUUCGAGCCCCACGUCGGGCU